This 161-nucleotide small nuclear RNA is filed under the name Soboliphyme baturini. RNAcentral describes it as "U1 spliceosomal RNA". It matches the Rfam family "U1 spliceosomal RNA". From Rfam's summary of the family: U1 is a small nuclear RNA (snRNA) component of the spliceosome (involved in pre-mRNA splicing). Its 5' end forms complementary base pairs with the 5' splice junction, thus defining the 5' donor site of an intron. The record is from Rfam by way of RNAcentral. Lineage: Eukaryota; Metazoa; Nematoda; Enoplea; Dioctophymatida; Soboliphymatidae.
AUACUUACCUGGCGGCGAAAUAGUACUGAUCAAGAAGGGUACUUUUCCAGGGUGAGGCGUAACAUUGCACUCGGUUUGCGCUGACCUCUGAGGCUUACUCAAAUUGAGUAACGCCUGCCGUGAAAUUUUUGAGUGAGGGGUUUGCGUUCGCGCUGCCCCGC